RNAcentral lists this long non-coding RNA (448 nucleotides) under Apteryx owenii (little spotted kiwi). Its description in RNAcentral is "lncRNA (ENSAOWG00000006896.1)". The record is from RNAcentral. Lineage: Eukaryota; Metazoa; Chordata; Aves; Apterygiformes; Apterygidae.
GUCGUCUCUUUGGCUUCGUUAGGACAGCUGGAUCUCUCAGACAGAGCUGAAAAUCCUACGCAUGAUUCAGGGAAUCCCAGGGAAGUUAGCGAUAAAACCUCCCCUUUCAAUCCAAAUAUUUUAAGCUAUAUGGUGCCUUUCUGAAGGGGUCUGAGGAGCUGCCAUCGUUACCCCGAAUCGGCAGGCUUUACAGGACUGCUCUCUCGGCUCUGCACGCUGGCCAGGGAAAAGCACGGUGCUUGUACGCUACGUAAACAUGAUAAUCGUAUCGUCACCCUGAUGACUGUUCUUCAGUAUUGCACAGAAGAGGCUGGCUGACCUCCUACAAAUCUUACAAACUGCACUUACGUUUACAUUUACACCAGGGCAAAGGAUGGGUUUGAUGAGAGCAAAAUGAUUGCUACAGGUACUGGCCAUCAUCAGAUAAGAAUACUAAUGAAGAUGCAAU